GCCCGGAUGGUGAAACUGGUAUACACAAGGGACUUAAAAUCCCUCGGCGGCUAAAUCCGCCUUGCCGGUUCGAGCCCGGCUCCGGGCACCA
RNAcentral lists this transfer RNA (91 nucleotides) under Betaproteobacteria bacterium. RNAcentral's name for it is "tRNA-Leu". It matches the Rfam family "tRNA". Rfam says of the family: Transfer RNA (tRNA) molecules are approximately 80 nucleotides in length. Lineage: Bacteria; Pseudomonadati; Pseudomonadota; Betaproteobacteria. RNAcentral also lists the same sequence under 1 other name. The record is from RNAcentral.